GACGAACGCUGGCGGCGUGCUUAACACAUGCAAGUCGAACGAGACGAUUGAAAGCUUGCUUUCGAAAGUCGAGUGGCAAACGGGUGAGUAACGCGUAGACAACCUGCCUUUGAGAUGGGGACAACAGUUCGAAAGGACUGCUAAUACCGAAUGUUGUAUAUUUUCCACAUGGAAGAUAUAUUAAAGAUGGCCUCUAUUUAUAAGCUAUCGCUCAAAGAUGGGUCUGCGUCUGAUUAGCUAGUUGGUGGGGUAACGGCCUACCAAGGCGACGUUCAGUAGCCGGUCUGAGAGGAUGAACGGCCACAUUGGGACUGAGACACGGCCCAGACUCCUACGGGAGGCAGCAGUGGGGAAUCUUCCACAAUGGACGAAAGUCUGAUGGAGCAACGCCGCGUGAGUGAAGAAGGGUUUCGGCUCGUAAAGCUCUGUUGUCGGGGACGAAUGUGCAGUAUUUGAAUAAAGUAGUGCAAUGACGGUACCUGACGAGGAAGCCACGGCUAACUACGUGCCAGCCGCCGCGGUAA
Molecule: ribosomal RNA, 524 nt
Filed under: uncultured bacterium
Lineage: Bacteria
Description: partial 16S ribosomal RNA
Rfam family: Bacterial small subunit ribosomal RNA
Source: RNAcentral